UUGCCGCCGAUGAGAUCUGUUCU
This 23-nucleotide non-coding RNA is filed under the name Arabidopsis thaliana (thale cress). Lineage: Eukaryota; Viridiplantae; Streptophyta; Magnoliopsida; Brassicales; Brassicaceae. The record is from RNAcentral.